AUCGCUUCUCGGCCUUUUGGCUAAGAUCAAGUGUAGUAUCUGUUCUUAUCAGUUUAAUAUCUGAUAUGUCCUCUAUACGAGGACUACAUAUUAAGCCGAUUUUUAGCUCUGGGAGAUGAAAAAGGGGCUUGCUCCGUUCACUCCAAGCAUCGACUCGGUAUUGCAGCACCUCCGGGAACGGUGCACCCUUU
This is a small nuclear RNA of 191 nucleotides. Its record names the gene U2. It matches the Rfam family "U2 spliceosomal RNA". Rfam says of the family: U2 is a small nuclear RNA (snRNA) component of the spliceosome (involved in pre-mRNA splicing). Complementary binding between U2 snRNA (in an area lying towards the 5' end but 3' to hairpin I) and the branchpoint sequence (BPS) of the intron results the bulging out of an unpaired adenosine, on the BPS, which initiates a nucleophilic attack at the intronic 5' splice site, thus starting the first of two transesterification reactions that mediate splicing. The record is from Ensembl.